GAGUUUGAUCGUGGCUCAGAUUGAACGCUGGCGGCAUGCCUUACACAUGCAAGUCGAGCGGCAGCGCGGGGGCAACCCUGGCGGCGAGCGGCGAACGGGUGAGUAAUGCAUCGGGAACGUGUCCUCUUGUGGGGGAGUAACCAGUCGAAAGACUGGCUAAUACCGCAUGAGCACGGAGAGUGGAAAGCGGGGACCGUAAGGCCUCGCGCGAGAGGAGCGGCCGAUGCCGGAUUAGCUAGUUGGUGGGUAAAGCCUACCAAGGCGACGAUCCGUAGCUGGUCUGAGAGGACGACCAGCCACACUGGGACUGAGACACGGCCCAGACUCCUACGGGAGGCAGCAGUGGGGAAUUUUGGACAAUGGGGGCAACCCGUGAUCCAGCCAUGCCGCGUGUGUGAAGAAGGCCUU
RNAcentral lists this ribosomal RNA (408 nucleotides) under uncultured beta proteobacterium. RNAcentral's name for it is "bacterial SSU rRNA". It matches the Rfam family "Bacterial small subunit ribosomal RNA", at positions 9 to 418 of the family's 1533-position model. Lineage: Bacteria; Pseudomonadati; Pseudomonadota; Betaproteobacteria. The record is from RNAcentral.